AUUGAACGCUGGCGGCAGGCCUAACACAUGCAAGUCGAACGGCAGCGGGGAGUAGCUUGCUACUCUGCCGGCGAGUGGCGGACGGGUGAGUAAUGCCUGGGGAGCUGCCCAAUCGAGGGGGAUACCAGUUGGAAACGACUGCUAAUACCGCAUACGCCCUGAGGGGGAAAGGUGGGGAUCUUCGGACCUACCGCGAUUGGAUGCACCCAGGUGGGAUUAGCUAGUUGGUGAGGUAACGGCUCACCAAGGCGACGAUCUCUAGCUGGUCUGAGAGGAUGACCAGCCACACUGGAACUGAGACACGGUCCAGACUCCUACGGGAGGCAGCAGUGGGGAAUAUUGCACAAUGGGGGAAACCCUGAUGCAGCCAUGCCGCGUGUGUGAAGAAGGCCUCGGUUGUAAGCGACUUCUAGCGAGGAGG
This 421-nucleotide ribosomal RNA is filed under the name uncultured bacterium. Its description in RNAcentral is "bacterial SSU rRNA". It matches the Rfam family "Bacterial small subunit ribosomal RNA", at positions 29 to 447 of the family's 1533-position model. The record is from RNAcentral.